This 424-nucleotide ribosomal RNA is filed under the name Rimicaris exoculata. Its description in RNAcentral is "partial 16S ribosomal RNA". Lineage: Eukaryota; Metazoa; Arthropoda; Malacostraca; Decapoda; Alvinocarididae. The record is from RNAcentral.
GGAAAUCUUAAUUCAACAUCGAGGUCGCAACUACUUUCGUCGAUAAGAACUCUCAGAAAAAAUUACGCUGUUAUCCCUAAAGUAACUUUUUCUUCUAAUCCUUAAAAAAGGAUCACUCCUCUAAAUAUGUUUAUUUAAAUUAUUAAACAGUUACUUAUUUUAUAUUCUUGUCGCCCCAACAUAAUAAAUAAAAACUAAUCCACUUUAACACUAAAAUUCAAAAAUUAAUUCUUUUAUAUAAAGUUUUAUAGGGUCUUAUCGUCCCUUUAAUAUAUUUGAGCCUUUUCACUCAAAAGUAAAAUUCUAUCUCUACAGGCCAAGACAGGCUAUUUUUUGUACGACCAUUCAUUCCAGCCUCCAAUUAAGAGACUAUUGAUUAUGCUACCUUCGCACGGUCAAAUUACCGCGGCCUUUAAAAACUUUC